Peromyscus californicus insignis is the source of this 4115-nucleotide long non-coding RNA. RefSeq lists it as uncharacterized. The transcript is spliced from 3 exons. The record is from RefSeq and is a predicted model, not a curated record. NCBI's taxonomy places the organism in Eukaryota, Metazoa, Chordata, Mammalia, Rodentia, Cricetidae.
CGGAGAGAGAAAGAUGGGGUGCUGGGGGAUUUCGGCUUUUCUGCCCUCCAGAGUUCCAGGACCGGCUAGCUGGCAGGAGGGGCUGGGCUUGGGGUUUCUACAUCCACAGUUAGAGAGGUGUGGCUGGCUAAGACUCAGUUCUGUUUAGGGACUCUCACUCCCAAACACCCUGGGCCCCCGGGUGGUCCAGAACACAGAAGGUCCUAACAGGGUCCCCAUCUACUCUGGGACUGUCUCUAAGGGCAUUAGUUGGACACAGCUGCAAAUGUUGGCUUCUGGGCCACCUCGAAAGCCUGUAAGUAAUCCAAGGAGCCAGCAGGGGGCAUAGCGAGUCUCCUGCUGGACAGAGGCAAACACUGAGAGCAUUGAAGUCAGGGGGCCGAGCAGCACUCCUAACCGCUGUCCACCCUUCCCUCCCAGGGAGCCAGAGCUGUGACAGUGCCCACCUGACAGGUACCACAGGAAAUGGCCACCCUGAGCCCAUGUCCAGGGCAUUCUCUCAGGGACGGUGGACCACGGGACCAGAUGUUGACAGUGUGUCCAAGAACGAGCAAACACAGCUUCCUCUUCCCAUCUGACGGCAAGCUGAGACCACGCCCCCAGACCACGCCCCCAGACCACGCCCCCCGAGAGACGCCCAGCCCACGGGAACUAGCUGACCCUGCUCCUUGUGCUGCACUUACUAGUUACUUCUCCAGCCUGCUGCCAUGCUCUCUGCCAUGAUGAGGAUAGACCAAGCCCCUGAAACUGUAAGCAAGCUCCCAAUUAAAUGCUUUCUUUUAUAAGAGUUGCCUUAGUCAUGGUGUCUUUUCAAAGCAAUAGAACAGUGAGGCACCUGGGGACAUGGAAGGGUCAAAUGCUGACAACACUCAGGAGCAAUACAGGAUGCAUGAGGACUGAGGAUGCCAUCUUACCUGUCCACUCCAGGCAACCUUGCACAGACCCUCCCCAGGGGCAGCCUUUAAGGGAGUAGUUUCCUGCCCCAGAAUGCCAUGCAGCUAAACCUUGGGUAGGUAAGCACAAACCAAAGUUCUAGCUGCCUAAAAACCUAGGCUCUGGUCCAAGAGCCUGAUUUCCCUGCCAAGAGAAUGCAGUGGUGCAUCUAGAAUGUUCUUUUCCAAGCAGUUCAUGUUCCACUUGAAUUUACAUGGACACAGGCAAAUGUGUGUUCUGGUCACCCAAGGCUUUCUUUUUGGGGUUUUUAACAUAUGCACUUUUAGCAUAUGCACUUCCAAAUAAAUUUAAGUGUGUUUGAAAAUAAACCAGCUGAGUGUGGCAGUGCACACCUAAUCCUGGCACUUGGGGGUUGAGUUAGGGGGGCUACCACAAUUUCAAGGCUAGUCUGGGUUGUAAAGCAAGACCUUGUUUUGGGGAAAAAAGAAUAAACUCACUUGAAGAAGUGAUUAAAUAUAUAACUGUCAGAAUGGCCAGUGAUUUACCAAAACCUGGGAAAAUGGCACGUAUGUGACAGUCCAGGGAACAAAAACACACCAACAGUCCUCAGAGUGAGACCUGGGGGCCAUGAGUCUAGGAGAACACUCCAGACAGUCGAGGAUGUCAUCACUGUUUUCACAAGAAUGCCAAGAAGUGAUAUGUCUUGUGAACCAUGUUGACACAAGAUGGUUCAGAAACAAUGAUGAGUGAAACUGCCAGUGCCUCAGAACUUACUACAACACUAGCAUCAAGUUCACAGCCAGCAGACGUCUGUUCUUCACAACUACAUACACUCUCUCAAAAAAUGAAAUAAAAGGAAAGAAGGAAGGGAGGGAGGGAGGAAGGAAGAAAGAGGCCAGUGCUGUGGGAUGGUCUGUAUGUCAAAUGUGUUGCUGAUUGGUCGAUAAAUAAAACACUGAUUGGCUAGUAGUCAGACAGGAAGUAUAGGCAGGACUAACAGAGAGGAGAAUUGAGAGAACAGGAAGGCGGAGGGAGACACUGCCAGCAGCCGCCAUGACAAGCAGCAUGUGAAGAUGCCGGUAAGCCAUGAGCCAUGUGGCAAGGUAUAGAUUUAUAGAAAUGGGUUAAUUUAAGAUAUAAGAACAGUUAGCAAGAAGCCUGCCACGGCCAUACAGUUUGUAAGCAAUAUAAGUCUCUGUGUUUACUUGGUUGGGUCUGAGCGGCUGUGGGACUGGCAGGUGACAGAGAUUUGUCCUGACUGUGGGCCAAGCAGGAAAACUCUAGCUUCAGGCCAGCUCCACUGAAGAAUGCAUCAGUAAGAAUUAGACAGCUGUGUGAGUUACCAGCUCAACUAACUGCUUUGGUUGAUGGAAGGUAGCAAAGACCACCAAAUAAACUAGCAGUGUUUAGCCUUAGCCACCAAGUAUACAUAAUAGAGACAAUGCCAGGCAUGGUGGUGCAUACCUUUAAUCCCAGCACUUGAGAGGCAGAGGCAGGAAGAUCUCUAAGAUUGAGGCCAGCCUGGUCUACAUAUCAAGUUCCAGAUCAAUCAGAGAUACAUAGUGAGUUCUUGUUUCAAAACAAAACAAAGCAAACAAACAAAAGAUUGAAUGCAGUGAGCCUGUUGCUGUGAAUAUGUGUUGAUCUGAUUGGUUGAUAAAUAAAACGCUGAUUGGCCAGUAGCCAAGCAGGAAGUAUAGGCAUGGCAAGCAAACGAGGAGAAUUCUGGGAAGAGGAAGGACUGAGUCAGGAGUCCCCAGCCAGACACAGAGGAAGCAAGAUAACAAGGCAGAACUAAGAAAAUGUACCAAGCCACGUGGCUAAACAUAGGUAAGAAUUAUGAGUUAAUUUAAGUGUAAGAGCUAGACAGUAAGCCUCAGCUAAUGGCCAUACAGUUCAUAAUUCAUAUAAGCCUCUGUGUGUUUAUUUGGGUCUGAGUGGCUGCAGACUGGGCAGACACAGAAAAACUUCAAACUACAGGGUAGUAGUGGUGCAUGUCUUUAAUCCCAGCACUUGGGAAGUAGGCAGAUCUCUGUGAGUUUGAGGCUAGCCUGGUCUACAGAGCAAGUUCCAGGACAGCCAGGGCUACACAGAGAAGCCCUGUCUUGGGCGGAGAUUCAAACUUUAAAAAAAAGCAACCACAAUUUUCCCAUAUUUGCCUAUGCUGUGAUGGGCUUAACCACUUCCUUACAUUGAAAGGCUUUCCUGCUACACAUUCACUGCACCAGUAUUUUCCAAUGUCAACAUGAAGUCAUGCAUGUAUAAGGGGAUCCCUGCAAAGUACAAGAGGAGCCAGGGGCAGCGGGGGUGACAACAUUCAGGCAAAUGGCUUCAGAGAGGCCCACGCAGUUAGCAUGUCAGAGUUCUGGCAUGACCAAUUCUGGCACAGCAUCAAAGCAAUUCAGCAAGCAGCUAAAAAGGUGUACACUUCCCAUCCAUGGGGGGAGGGUGGGAAGGUGGCUCUAGAGCUUCCUGAGUGCUUUAACAUGCCCCAGGAGACAUGAGGAUUCAUGUGUAUUCUGCAUAAAAAGAUUCAUAAAAGUUUCACAAUGUGUAAAACAAUGUCACAUGUUUUACUCAUUAAUUUUAUUUUGGUUUGGAAAAUAAAGUUUUCCAUAGAAAUGUUACUGAUAGCCAGGUGUGGUGACAUACACCUUUGAUCCCAGCACUUGGGAGGCAGAGGCAGGACCUCUGAGUUUGAGGCCAACCUGGUCUACAGAGUCAGGGCUACACAGAGAAACCCCGUCUUGAAAAAAACAAAACAACAAACAACAACAAAAAGGGAAGGGAGGAAGAAAAAGAAGAACAAGACACGCCCCUGAUGCGGGCGGCUGUGCUACCAACCUCCCUGGUCUUACUAGGGUUUAGCCUCUUGGGCAAUGUACCCACUACAGUCAUAGAACAAAACAGGCUGUCCUUGACUGCGGCUGACUGCUUCCCUCAGAGUCUCAUCCGAGACUAGAUGGAUAGCAGAUGGUACUCUUCCUGCCACGGGCGAAGCAAGCUCACACUCUUGUCUCAGCAUACUGGAGACACUUUAAGGCCGAAGUCUAUUUCCUAACAAACCAAUGGCUGCCCCCCAGGCCCUUUGGGCUAAGGAUGUCUGAUGAUGUAGCAACCAAGGAAAGGAGGGGAGUGAGCUGAGGCACAGGUGCCUCUCUUGUUCCUCCCACACCCCCACCACGGCUGGCAGGGCCAGCACAGGGAGGCCAUGGGUCCCA